GCGACGAUAUCAGUGUAGAGGAUCUGCAGGUGUAUAGUUCAAUCCUGGGGCAGUGGCAGCCGUGGGGAGUCGGGGACCCCCAGCUGGUGCCGGUUGAAGUAAACUGUGUUUCCAACAAGAACACCAUUGACAGUUGCCAGCAUGGCGAAGGAGUAAGAGCAGACGAGAAGGUCCCAGGCCGCUACCUGCAGGCCAGUCUCCCCGCCCCCAGCGAAGACUCACGCCUCGUGCAGCACUACGAGACGAACAUCACCACCCUCACCCUUCACCGCCUGCGCCACUUCUCCCUCUACACCGUGGCCGUCACAGCAUGUCUUCAGCCGCGUCGUUGCAUCAGAACAACGCCAGUUCUCCGCUCUACCACCUCCGCCGCCGCCUCCACACCUGCGUCUUGGGAGCCUGUUUUCUGCAAGCUGUGCUCGACCGUUCCAGCCUUGUUUCCGCUUUCACCGACCCCAGCCGUUAGUUUUUUCUCUGUUUUAGUUCUUAGUUUUUUCUUCGCACUCUGGUUUCCUUUCAGUAAUAACUAAAUGUUGUUGGUAUCUCUGAUCACAUUCCUUCUAGUCUCCAAUGCAUUUUUUUUAAUAAUAGCGAAAUUUCUAUUGACA
Molecule: long non-coding RNA, 608 nt
Organism: Eriocheir sinensis (Chinese mitten crab)
Lineage: Eukaryota; Metazoa; Arthropoda; Malacostraca; Decapoda; Varunidae
Exons: 3
Source: RefSeq, a predicted model, not a curated record